UACGUAGGCAGCGAGCGUUGUUCGGAGUUACUGGGCGUAAAGGGUGUGUAGGCGGUUUUUUAAGUUUGGUGUGAAAUCUCCCGGCUCAACUGGGAGGGUGCGCCGAAUACUGAAUGACUUGGAGUGCGGGAGAGGUGAGUGGAAUUCCUGGUGUAGCGGUGAAAUGCGUAGAUAUCAGGAGGAACACCGGUGGUGUAGACGGCUCACUGGACCGUAACUGACGCUGAGACACGAAAGCGUGGGUAGCAAACAGG
RNAcentral lists this ribosomal RNA (254 nucleotides) under uncultured bacterium. Its description in RNAcentral is "partial 16S ribosomal RNA". It matches the Rfam family "Bacterial small subunit ribosomal RNA", at positions 524 to 776 of the family's 1533-position model. The record is from RNAcentral.